RNAcentral lists this ribosomal RNA (254 nucleotides) under uncultured bacterium. RNAcentral's name for it is "partial 16S ribosomal RNA". It matches the Rfam family "Bacterial small subunit ribosomal RNA", at positions 524 to 776 of the family's 1533-position model. The record is from RNAcentral.
UACAGAGGUCUCAAGCGUUGUUCGGAUUCAUUGGGCGUAAAGGGUGUGUAGGUGGCGCGCUAAGUCGGGUGUGAAACCUCCAGGCUCAACCUGGAGACGCCACCCGAUACUGCUAUAGCUUGAGUCCGGUAGGGGAGCGUGGAAUUCCUGGUGUAGCGGUGAAAUGCGCAGAUAUCAGGAGGAACACCGGUGGCGAAGGCGGGUCUCUGGGCCGAAAUUGACGCUGAGGAGCGAAAGCGUGGGGAGCAAACAGG